Molecule: ribosomal RNA, 486 nt
Filed under: uncultured bacterium
Lineage: Bacteria
Description: bacterial SSU rRNA
Rfam family: Bacterial small subunit ribosomal RNA
Source: RNAcentral
GAUGAACGCUAGCGGGAGGCUUAACACAUGCAAGUCGAGGGGCAGCACGAGAUAGCAAUAUUUUGGUGGCGACCGGCGCACGGGUGAGUAACACGUAUGCAACCUACCUCGUACGGGGGGAUAACCCGGAGAAAUUCGGACUAAUAUCCCAUAAUAAUAUUGAAAGGCAUCUUUUAAUAUUUAAAGCUCAGGCGGUACGGGAUGGGCAUGCGGAACAUUAGCUAGUUGGUAGGGUAACGGCCUACCAAGACUGCGAUGUUUAGGGGACCUGAGAGGGUUAUCCCCCACACUGGUACUGAGACACGGACCAGACUCCUACGGGAGGCAGCAGUGAGGAAUAUUGGUCAAUGGGCGCAAGCCUGAACCAGCCAUCCCGCGUGAAGGAAGAAGGCGCUAUGCGUCGUAAACUUCUUUUCCAGGGGGAGAAUUUUCCGGUCGUGACCGGAAUUGACGGUACUCUGGGAAUAAGCAUCGGCUAACUCCGUG